AACUUAAACUGCAAGUUAGCUAAAAUUAGAAGCUUGCUGCUAUGACGAAGCGGGGGAGGAGUGAUAACUAGGGGGCAACCUGCCUGUGAACUGGGAUAACUUCGGGAAACCGAAGCUAAUACCGGAUAGGAUCUUCUCCUUCGUGGGAGAUGAUUGAAAGAUGGUUUCGGCUAUCACUUACAGAUGGGCCCGCGGUGCAUUAGCUAGUUGGUGAGGUAACGGCUCACCAAGGCAACGAUGCAUAGCCGACCUGAGAGGGUGAUCAGCCACUGGGACUGAGACACGGCCCAGACUCCUACGGGAGGCAGCAGUAGGGAAUCUUCCGCAAUGGACGAAAGUCUGACGGAGCAACGCCGCGUGAGUGAUGAAGGCUUUCGGGUCGUAAAACUCUGUUGUUAGGGAAGAACAAGUACGAGAGUAACUGCUCGUACCUUGACGGUACCUAACCAGAAAGCCACGGCUAACUACGUGCCAGCAGCCGCGGUAAUACGUAGGUGGCAAGCGUUAUCCGGAAUUAUUGGGCGUAAAGCGCGCGCAGGCGGUUUCUUAAGUCUGAUGUGAAAGCCCACGGCUCAACCGUGGAGGGUCAUUGGAAACUGGGGAACUUGAGUGCAGAAGAGAAAAGCGGAAUUCCACGUGUAGCGGUGAAAUGCGUAGAGAUGUGGAGGAACACCAGUGGCGAAGGCGGCUUUUUGGUCUGAACUGACGCUGAGGCGGAAAGCGUGGGGAGCAAACAGGAUUACAUACCCUGGUAGUCCACGCCGUCAACGAUGAGCUAAGUGUUAGAGGGUUCCCCCCUUUAUGCUGCACUAAUUUAUCAUCCUCUG
RNAcentral lists this ribosomal RNA (827 nucleotides) under Priestia megaterium. Its description in RNAcentral is "bacterial SSU rRNA". It matches the Rfam family "Bacterial small subunit ribosomal RNA", at positions 46 to 871 of the family's 1533-position model. Lineage: Bacteria; Bacillati; Bacillota; Bacilli; Caryophanales; Bacillaceae. The record is from RNAcentral.